Triticum dicoccoides is the source of this 969-nucleotide long non-coding RNA. RefSeq lists it as uncharacterized. The transcript has 2 exons. Lineage: Eukaryota; Viridiplantae; Streptophyta; Magnoliopsida; Poales; Poaceae. The record is from RefSeq and is a predicted model, not a curated record.
CACGCCGCCGCCACACUCCCCAUCGGGAUCCAAAACUAGCCUCCACCUUCUCCUCGUUUUCCCCUCCUGUCCAACCACCAUCGCCGCCCAAGUCCUGCAUCCUCUGCCCAUCGCUCCUCUCCUGUAGCCGCCCGAGCACCGGCCAGCUUGCUGGAGCAGACCACCGACGCCCGAGUCAAAUCCCCUCGCGCUACCUCCUUCUUUCCCUUCUUCUUACCCUGUCUCAUCCCUCUCUCUCUCCCUCCCAUUUCCUCUCGCAGGAGCUCGCCGUGGAGUUGGAACAGCGCCGCCGUCGAACUUAGUCCGCGGUCGCCUUUGACCGGAUCCAGUGAUGGCCGAGCUGAUCCACCCGUUUCGCCGCCCGCCGGACCUCCCCCCGGUCUGCUCCCGUCCAAGUCCGCCUUUGCUUGCCUGGCCGACGCCAAGUCCCUGAACCGUGCAGCGCCGCCGCCCUUGGAACUCCUCUGCCAUGGACGCCAGGUCCCAAGGUCUCCGUUGCCUCCGCUUCGAUCCGGCAGGAAACGAGUCCUGAAGGCUUCUCGCGCUUCGAUCCGGACGCCACCGAGCUCUUGCGCUGACCCCUCCUCAUCCUGCCGCUCGCCGGAGUCCUCAGCGCCGGCGUGCCUGUUGUUUGCUUCACCGAACCGGCCGCCAAGUCCCACGCCGCUGCUGCUCUUUUUCCUGUCGAGAAGAGGUGGACGCCACAUCUGCCCCGAGUCGUUCGAGCGACCGCGUUGACCUUUCCCCGACGGAACCAAGCAGGUUGGCCCAGCACGCCCCUGCCAGCCUCUCCCUCUCCAUAGAUCUGGGCCUGGCCCAUGGGUGAGGCACACCCCAGUGCCACUGUUACUAUCCACCUAUUGGGCCAGAUCUUAGAUGCGGCCCGAAUCUUGUUUUUUUCCCGUGGAACGAAUUUAGCUAUUAUUCCUGAGACGGUUGUUUUGCAGAAAAGUCCCUAGAGUUCAUGCA